UGUUAAAAAUUUUAUCCAUUUAUACUAUUAAGAAUUGAUGUUGCUCAUGGAAUAACCAAACAGUAAUAUGUACGUAGCAUGCCUCGUGUACAUGAUGAUGUCUAGAAAUCAGUUUUUAACAGUAGAAAUGGAUGAAAUUUUUAACA
This is a non-coding RNA of Gossypium hirsutum (cotton), 146 nucleotides long. The record is from Rfam. Lineage: Eukaryota; Viridiplantae; Streptophyta; Magnoliopsida; Malvales; Malvaceae.